GGCUGUAGCUCAGUGGUAGAGCAUCUGUUCUGCAUUCAGAAGGUCGCAGGUUCAAUCCCUGGAAUCUCCA
Non-coding RNA from Podarcis lilfordi (Lilford's wall lizard), 70 nucleotides. Lineage: Eukaryota; Metazoa; Chordata; Lepidosauria; Squamata; Lacertidae. The record is from the annotation of a GenBank genome assembly.